Molecule: long non-coding RNA, 6484 nt
Organism: Triticum aestivum (bread wheat)
Lineage: Eukaryota; Viridiplantae; Streptophyta; Magnoliopsida; Poales; Poaceae
Exons: 13
Source: RefSeq, a predicted model, not a curated record
CGCGCACUCGCGCCCGCGCCCUCACCUCUCUCUCCCCAUCCAAACCCUACCCCGCGCCCGCCUCCCUGCCCUGCCGCCGGCGCCGGCGCCGCCGCUCGCCCGGGCACCCAUCCCCGGCCUCACGCCGCCCAUCUAGAGAGAUGGGGGCCGCGCGCGACGAGGCCGGCGUGCCGUCGUCUCGUCUUCUGCCGCGCCCGCCUCCCUGCCUCGCCGCUGGCCGCCGCCGCCGCUGCUCGCCCGGGUACCCGGCCGCGGGUGAUGUGGCCGACGUGCCGUCGUCCCGUCUUCUGCGAGGUCGAGGAGAGCCAAUCCCACCUCGCCGCCAUCUCCUUCAUCCAGCCGGCUGCCGCCUUGGCCGACUCCUCUCCCCCUCCCGUCCUCCUCCUCUCGCGUCUCCUUCCCGUCGUCAGGCCGCAUACUGCUCCACCCUUCCUCCUCCCCUCCCAUCGCUCCCCUCUAACGCUAGGAGUGGGUGAGGAGGCUGAGCCACUGCCCGCUGCUGGCCCGCAACACCUCCUGUUCGACCACGCCGAGGAAGCACUGAACCUUCAUCCUUGCGUCUGUGCAGAGACGACCCGAGGUGACUUAUAAUCUGUAGCAUAUGUUGCUGCAUUGGGAGAUUUGGAGUACGUGCAUUGAGGCUUAAAUGUGCAAAUGCACACUGCUGGAGCGCCCUUCAGCAACGAGGAGGCCCAACGCGACACGGCCGCCGCCUGCGUCGGUUCUCCCCAGCACGACACGGCCGCCGCCGGCAUCGGUUCUCCCCAGCACAACCACUCUGAAGACGCCCAGGUCCACUGUAGCUGUUGUUCUCUUGUCUUCUUGCACAUAGUACAUCACUUGAUAGUUGAGACUAUACUGGAAAUCGGAUACUCUGAAGCAGUAAAACGUUUCGAGUUCGAUGGUCAGCUUGGCCCAUACAAUUUGGAUUCUUUUGGAGACUGGAAACAACUUUAAAGCUACUUGUCACAAAGUGUCAUUGAACGCCUUGAGCCAAUUGGUGGCAAUUGCAUUGGAGACAUCAUGGAUGGAUAGAGCUCCCCAAAUGGAUAUGGAGACGAUUGAUGGAAACACUUAGAGAAGACAAAUUUGCAAAGAAAGCGCCUGCACACACUGAGAGGAGAGGAUGCUAUUACACAACUAUCCCGCUUCGGUUAAGCACAGAAUUCUGGCAAAGUGUCACUGAAUAUUUCAGAGUUUAUAUCUUUUCUAUGAUGCCCAAAGAAAAUGUGUUUCUAAACCCUUUACUGUUUGUGGCAAUGCUUCUCAUGCUUCCCCAAACAAGCUAUUGCUACUUACAAUUCUGAGAGUAAUAGAACUUGCAUGAUGUGAUCAAAGUUCUUUACUUACUUGCAAUGCUUCCUUUCUUUGCAGCUUUGGAAUAUACAAUAAGGUCAAUGGGCAAUGGCUAGCAAUCAGGAUUAUCAGCUGUCCAAUCACCCAGAAACUUUGAGCUGAAAAUGGAUGGAUGGAUGCACUGUGUGAUAAGAUCAUGAAGGAAGUGUUUUGAAGAGUAUCCCGAGGUUGAGAACAUUUAUAGUGAAUUACAGGAAACAAAACGGUCUUACUCCAGUUCACAUCCAUGGUAACUAUCAAUAUAUAACUCCAGUUCAUGUUCUUCUAAUUAUACAUGAGGGUAUGAAAAAUCCACACUCUUAUGUGAAGGACGUGAGGUGUCGCUGAUGAGACCUUUGUGUUGGCCGGUGAUCAUGGGCAACGUUAUAUAGUUAGUUUGAUAUGUUAUAUGGUCCAGCUAGGUUCGAAGGAACGGGAUCUUUGGAUCAGUCCCAUAUUCAUGUUAGUUUUAUAACAAAUCGGUGAAAAUUACUUCUGUGUGUUGUUGCUUCAAGUUGAAGUUUGGUCACUUGUUUUCAGGUCUACCCCGCCGUCAUUUCUAUAAAAAUAAACAAAUUCUUUAUUUAUAGCCGACUGCCAUUUUCCUUUUGGGUAUGUGUUGGUCGCCCCUCAUCCGCGGCUGCUCGCGGGCGCUCCCGCAAUGCCGCGAGUAAAACUGGUGGUGGCCAUGGCAUUGCUGGCGGCUCUGCCUCUUGCGGUGACUUUGUAGAGUACAAGUCAAGUUUAAAGCUUUCGACCGCGACGGCUGAAAAACCAAAGUAAAUGCAUCAUAUAUAUUCUAAUAAAUGCAUGCGAAUCAUAGAAAAUAUGGUAAGCACCUAUCCUGCAAUUUAGGACUGGCGUGAUGUUGCUCUUUGUUGAUAGAAAUCAUACUUGCAUAGCUGUUUGAUUGAUUUGAUUAUAAUCAAACUGCACCGUCAUAAUAUUAUAUCCUUGCCAUAUUGUAAAGUUUCAGUUGGGUUGGUCACGGCACACUAUAUGCGAUAUGGCAAUGUUUUGUACCAAUCUUUGUGAUGUACUCCGGAAGAAAGGUAUACAAGCAGAACUAUCUCCAAAUGUAUAAAGAAUUAGCAUGUUCUUAGUGGUUAGUAGCGCCUGAUUCAAAGUGACUGUGAACGGGUUCGAAUCCUGGUCACUGCAUUUUUUAAAUAAUUAAUUUCUCCUAGGAGCUGACACGUGGGACCACUGCCACGUAGGCUAGGCUUUUCUUAUCUAAACUACUUGAUGUGACAAAAUAUCUUAAACAAGCUCUGUGAUUUGUAUGCUCUCUUAUAUUAUCAAAGAUGAUUGCACUUAUAUGAUAUGUUUGAUAGUUCCUAUAUACUCCGAAAGAAAAAAUAGCUGAUGUUCCGCUCCCUGCAGGUCUGCACUCGCGUCACGCCCUUUCCUCUCCCUGCCGCCUUGCCCCUCUCCCUGCCUGCUCGUUGCCCCGGUCUUCUCUGAUGGUGCUCCUAGAUGUGCUAUACAUCACCUCCUCACCUCCUUGGCCACUUCGGUGCCCAUGGCUUUCGUGCUCGUUGGCAGGAUGGUGCAAGGCGCAACUCCGACGUGGUUCCUCACUGGUUGGAUGGCGUUCAGGCACAACCCUGGUGCCCUCUGAGUACUGCCUCGGCUACAACCUCCCUCUGUGAGCUCCAUCUUCCCCUGCUCUGCUUCGGCUACUAUAUGGGACAUGGCCAGGGCUAUGAUGAUCAGUUAUGGCUGAUAUAGGCAUGCUCUCAAGCAGUGGAGGCACUUGUGGGUAUUAAUUUGGAUCCUCCCUCGUUUCUUUGAGCUGUUUUGAGCACGUUCUUAUUUUAGUGGCUCUGUCCUUGGAUGGUCAUUUCUAAUGAGUGAUAACCAGGGCAGUUAAACCCUCGUAAGAACAUAUUGAUCCGGUGAUCCAUCCAGAAAUCCAGAAAUAAGUCCAUCCAUCCAGAAAUAAGAAUAGAAACUCCUCAGGCCGCUCCUCAGCGAUUUGGGAUUCCUGGCCGUCGGAUCUGGUUGCUUGAUGGAUCUUGGGCCGUCGGAUCGACCCCUGUAAUGACCUUGUCCGUCGGAUAAAAAAAAAUUACUGCUGGAAUGAAUAGUUACUCCCAAAAUGAGAUAUCUCGUGCCACCGCGUUUGAAUCACGUGCCCCAUCGGUCGGAAGCCAUUCUUGCUAGGGCGAUGAUGAUUAGCCGUGGGUAUCAAGUUGGGUCCUCCCUCUUGUCUCUAGAAUCCUUUUUGAUCCUGUGAUACUUAUUGUUCUGUCCUUUGGAUGGUCAUUCUUAUUGAGUGAUAACCAGGGCAGCUCCACUGUAUAAACAGAUUGAUCUGGUGAUAAGAGAUGAUGGGGGUAGAUUAUAUGAUCGAGGAAAGGCAAAUCUGAGCCCAUAUGCAUUGAACCCUGAACCCUUUUUAUUCGCACGUGCCCCACCGGUCGGAAGCCAUCCUUGCUAGGGCGAUGAUGAUUCGCUGUGGCUGAAAUAAGUGUGCCUUUGAGCAAUCAAGGCACCUGUGGGUAUCAAGUUGGGUCCUCCCUCUUGUCUCUAGAAUCCUUUUUGAUCAUGUGAUGUCCUUGGAUGGUCAUUCUUGUUGAAUGAUAACCAGGGCAGCUCCACUGUAUAAACAGAUUAAUCUGGUGACAAGAGAUGGCGGGGGUAGAUUAUAUGAUCGAGGAAAGGCAAAUCUGAGCCCACUAUGCAUUGAACCCUGAACCCUUUAUAUUUGUAUUUAAAGGUGUUGCUUAUUUAUGCUCCAGUGUUUAUAGCCGUCUUAUGUGAAUAUUUCUUCUCUCUCAUACCUUUAUUGCAUAUAAGUUGUUCUUGACUUUUAUUGUUUGUUGUUGGUCCUUGAUUUCAUCUGGUUAAGAGUAAGCAAGUUGUCGGUUCAAUGGCUUGUUUUAAUUUGUUGAUAAACCAGCAGAAACCACGGUGUCAUGUUUCUAAUAACAGCGUCUUUAGGCUGGUUAAUGUCUGUAUUGGAGACCAUUACCUUUUAUUUCGCUUGUUUCUUACCAUCUUCCUUGCUUCUCUGGCUGUUUCACGGUUGGGACGGUGGCGUGGCGUUGGGGCUGUCUUGCGGGUUGGCCGGAGAGGGAGCACACCGAGUGGGCUUCUAAGAUGGCUGAGGGAUUUGUCUAGGGUUUCCUGGUUAAUCCAUUCUGAUUUUGGUCUGCUCAUGCUCUUGGCUUCCGGACCGUGGUGCUCAAGUAUGCAUAUGAUUGGAUAUGCGCAUUCAGCUUUCGUGUCAUCGAUGGUUUCAGAUUCCUCCAUCCUUACUACACUGCCUAUAGUUUCUUAGGUCCCAUUGCUGACCCGUAGAGAGGCGUCUGUGGGGGUCUCCAUGGUUGCCGGUGACCGAACGCGACCACCGCUGCCGAUCCCGCUAUUUUUUUAUAUUAGAUGCUCUCCUGCUUUGGCUAAAUCAGAUAGAGGCUUUAAGCAUAUUCAGUUUAAAUAAUGUCAGUCCUAAUUUGGAUAAAUGAAAUAACAAGAGCUUCAGACUAAUGUGGAACAAUUGGUCAAAAUAGAAGAGUUUAGUUCCUGUCAGUUUAGUUAGUGGCCUAUAUGAAUUUGAUUUGGCCCACAAUAAUUUUGUAUAAUUAUUGAUUUGCUAGCAUAUAUUCUAAACUUAAUUUUGUUAGCUCCUAUCUCGUGUUCUUUCUUAUAAUAUCUUUUUAUAUGACGUGCUUCACGAGAGUUUCUCCAUGUUUAUGAAGAAAAGAUUUGGGUUCAGAGCACCUUCGGUUAUAAGAAUUUGUUUUCUAAUUCUUGCUGGUCAGUUGCAAAACAUUAAUUUUUGUUUGCUUUACAAUUUUUCAGAAGUAAUGGGAAAUGACGAGCUCCUACUUUUUAUGCCAGCUCUAUGACGUAGGUUCGUGUGAGGUGGUCCCUAUGAAGUACAUCGACAAGGCAGAUGGAUUACGUGACUUAUUAGUAUGCUUAGUGAUAAUGGCUCCGUAGUUGGCUCUUUUUAAUAUAUUCCUGUUCUUAUUACCUCUUAUGUGUUUUUGCUUUUGGUAUCGAACUUCAUGUCGAAUGUGUAUCUUUUGUGGUCGUAUGAACGCACCGAGCUUGAUCCUGCCUUAUAAACUGAUGUUGAUCUUGUACUCCAUUGUGUUUUACUUUUAUCACAAUACAGGCGCGGCGGAGGAGCUGUCUUCUGAGUUGACCGGAGAGGGAGCACAUUGGAGAGGCUUCUGAGAUGACCAAGGGUUUACUGAUCGAUCCAUCCUGAUUGGGAUCUGUUUGUGGUCCUGGUUGACUGGCUGGUGCGUCGUGCCGUUGCUGGUGCUUGAGGUUGUCUCGCUGGUUUCCUUGCAGUAUCGUCGAUCUGUGCAUCCAGGCACCCCAAGCUUUUCCUCGCGCGAUGGCAUCAGGCGCACGGAGGGAGCUCUUCUCCGUCGAUGUGGUGAACAACGACCAUGAUCUCCGUUCCACGGCGUCUCCGGCUAGCAAGUCAACACACAACACGAUUGUAGAGUGGUAAGUCCAGGCACCCCAAGCCUGUCCACGGUGCCACCAAUGAACAAGGCCGAGACAAGCAUCGUAAGGAUCCAGUUAGAAUGAUGAUUGAUAUCCUGUUAGAGCAUCUUGGGCUUCACAAGGCCAUCUGAGACUCGGGAUCGAUGAGGCAUUUGACAUGAUAAACAAGUGCCAAAGGUUACUUGUAUGAUCUGAGAUACAUGAGCUCCUUCUCAGAUCAGCUUCAUAAUGUGAUAGCACAUGGCUUUCCUCCUGCCCGUGCCGUGGAUACAUUGACAAACGUGACCCUUAUGAAUAUUGAAGUGAUGGCACAUAACCUUAAGAGCAGAAGCAAUCAUCUGUAGAAGAGGCUGCAUGCCAUAAAAAGACAGUCUUUAGGCGCAACAGCAUGAGGUGUUUGCACCAAUUGAUUUCUUCACACCAAGGCCAUGGCGUUGAUCAUCUAUGGACAUCACAGAUCAUCUAUUCUAACUCUGGCAAGUACGAGAUGAUAUAUGAUGCCACCAGCUCCUGUGAUGUACCGUGCAAACUACUGUGUGAUCUCCCUCUCCUUUUGUGAACACGUCCCCUUCGGCACGUCUAUUCGUACUUUUGCACUCAAUAUUUAUGUGUAUGAACAUUGCAUCCUUUAAUUUACCCUGUAUAUGAACAUUACAUCCUUCAAAUGUGUUGUACUAUA